RNAcentral lists this ribosomal RNA (253 nucleotides) under uncultured bacterium. RNAcentral describes it as "partial 16S ribosomal RNA". It matches the Rfam family "Bacterial small subunit ribosomal RNA", at positions 524 to 776 of the family's 1533-position model. The record is from RNAcentral.
GACAGAGGUCCCAAGCGUUAGGCGGAAUCACUGGGCUUAAAGCGUGUGUAGGCGGAUCCGUAAGUACCUUGUGAAAUCCCACGGCUCAACCGUGGAACUGCUGGGUAUACUGCGGGUCUUGAGCCACCUAGGGGCGAGCGGAACAAGUGGUGGAGCGGUGAAAUGCGCAGAUAUCAGGAAGAACACCAAUGGCGAAGGCAGCUCUCUGGGACGGUACUGACACUGAGACGCGAAAGCGUGGGGAGCGAACAGG